CCUCAAAUCAGGUAGGACUACCCGCUGAACUUAAGCAUAUCAAUAAGCGGAGGAAAAGAAACUAACAAGGAUUCCCCUAGUAACGGCGAGUGAAGCGGGAUGAGCUCAAAUUUAAAAUCUUGCAGCCUCAGGUUGUACGAGUUGUAGUCUAGAGAAUCGUUUUCCGCGUUGGCCUGUGUACAAGUCCCUUGGAACAGGGCGUCAUAGAGGGUGAGAAUCCCGUCCUUGACACAGACUACCAAUGCUUUGUGAUGCGAUCUCGAAGAGUCGAGUUGUUUGGGAAUGCAGCUCAAAAUGGGUGGUAAAUUCCAUCUAAAGCUAAAUAUUGGCGAGAGACCGAUAGCGAACAAGUACCGUGAGGGAAAGAUGAAAAGCACUUUGGAAAGAGAGUUAAACAGUACGUGAAAUUGUUAAAAGGGAAACGAUUGAAGUCAGUCAUGCUCUCCGAGACUCAGCCGAUUCUGUCGGUGUACUUCUCGGUUGGCAGGCCAGCAUCAGUUUUGAUCUGUGGAAAAGGUUGGAGAGAAUGUGGCAUCUUCGGAUGUGUUAUAGCUCUUCUUCGAAUACAUAGAGCGGGACUGAGGAACGCAGCGUGCCUUUUAUUAGGUUGGCCUUCGGGUACAUACACGCUU
Molecule: ribosomal RNA, 632 nt
Filed under: Mrakia sp.
Lineage: Eukaryota; Fungi; Basidiomycota; Tremellomycetes; Cystofilobasidiales; Mrakiaceae
Description: eukaryotic LSU rRNA
Rfam family: Eukaryotic large subunit ribosomal RNA
Source: RNAcentral